Carassius carassius (crucian carp) is the source of this 326-nucleotide long non-coding RNA. RefSeq lists it as uncharacterized. The record is from RefSeq and is a predicted model, not a curated record. NCBI's taxonomy places the organism in Eukaryota, Metazoa, Chordata, Actinopteri, Cypriniformes, Cyprinidae. The transcript is spliced from 3 exons.
ACAUUGGUAAAACAGCUUGGUCAAACCAGGUCCUAUGAAGCAAGCAUUUAUAAAUAUGCUGAUUUGUAAAUGUGAUUUCACAGAACACACAGUGGGACCAAAAGGCUUUACUGAGGUCAGGUCUUAUCUGUGCUUUACUAGAAAAAGUAAAAUAUGCAUAAUCAUAAAUCCUAUCCCACUACACUUAAUAAUGUCUUUACAAUUUUCAGUGUUUUGUGUUGUACUCAUGUUUAUUCCGUUUCUGUUUAAUAGUUGGAGUAACACACAGAAAUGAAUGCAAAUAUUAUAUCUUGAAAAAUUUCACUUUAAUGUGAGCAUCCAACAGU